This 436-nucleotide ribosomal RNA is filed under the name uncultured bacterium. Its description in RNAcentral is "partial 16S ribosomal RNA". It matches the Rfam family "Bacterial small subunit ribosomal RNA", at positions 29 to 507 of the family's 1533-position model. The record is from RNAcentral.
AGCGAACGCUGGCGGCAGGCUUAACACAUGCAAGUCGAGCGGGCAUCCUUGUGGUGUCAGCGGCAGACGGGUGAGUAACGCGUGGGAACGUGCCCUUCGGUUCGGAAUAACUCAGGGAAACUUGAGCUAAUACCGGAUACGCCCUUUUGGGGAAAGGUUUACUGCCGAAGGAUCGGCCCGCGUCUGAUUAGCUAGUUGGUGAGGUUAUGGCUCACCGAGGCGACGAUCAGUAGCUGGUCUGAGAGGAUGAUCAGCCACACUGGGACUGAGACACGGCCCAGACUCCUACGGGAGGCAGCAGUGGGGAAUAUUGGACAAUGGGGGCAACCCUGAUCCAGCCAUGCCGCGUGAGUGAUGUCGGCCUUAGGGUUGUAAAGCUCUUUUCUCCGGGACGAUAAUGACGGUACCGGAGGAAUAAGCCCCGGCUAACUUCGUG